This 72-nucleotide transfer RNA is filed under the name Oryzias latipes (Japanese medaka). It matches the Rfam family "tRNA". Rfam says of the family: Transfer RNA (tRNA) molecules are approximately 80 nucleotides in length. Their secondary structure includes four short double-helical elements and three loops (D, anti-codon, and T loops). Lineage: Eukaryota; Metazoa; Chordata; Actinopteri; Beloniformes; Adrianichthyidae. The record is from Rfam by way of RNAcentral.
GGUUCUAUGGUGUAAUAGUUAGUACUCUGGACUUUGGAUCCACUCGUCUGAGUUCAAAUCUCAAUAGAACCU